UUAUUCACUGGACUGGAACGCUUGCAUUUCUAUAGAAAAUGGAAAAAGGGGGGUGUCGGAAACCUUUUGACUGAGCUUGGAUGCUGCAGACUACCACAGGUACUGGGUCUAAAAGGAGUUCAUAUAUCUGGGGUGGUGGAAACUACGGAUGCAUCUACCUGUGAAAGACCUCUGCUCAUAUCAUCCAGUCAUGAAGGAUAACUGAGUUUUGGGCUGGUAACUGAGAUGUCGCUUUUUCAAAUUUCCCAGAUGAAAGUUCUUAGUUUACCCUUGAGCAAAGCCUAACCUUUACUGCCCCUGUUGGUCUCUCUGUCUCAGAGUACCUGCUAACUGACCAAAAUGUAAAAAUGUGUGGAGGGAGAGGUGAUUGGAAGAUGUAUGACAGCUAGCUGCUUGAGAAUAAUAUUGGUUAAAGCCCUGAAAUACCCAAUUUACAAUUCAAGGGCUAGACAUUUAUAACUCUUCAUUUGUGAUUGUUGAUUUCUUUCUUUGGCACUGUUAAUCUAAUUAGAUUAGGUGUGUAAGCAGUUGAGUAUUUCAAUUACAUGGAAUAACUGGGGGUUCUAGAGGAGUUUUGACAACCACUGCAAACAUCCACCCACCAUGUAAUCUCUAGUCCAGAAUCCAAACCAGUAAAUCUACAAUAUCUUGCCUCUGGUAGUAGCUACAUGGAGAUCUGUUAAGACUGAACAUUUUAAUUCUUGCUGAUUUUCUUUAAGUCCUAGACACAUGAGGGUGCAGAGGGAAACACUCUAGAUACCUUGAGGGAACAGAGGGUCAGACUAAUUUCAGGGCAUGUCCUCCUAAAUCAGUUUACUACUCCCAGUACCUCUAUAGUUCCAGCCAAUCACACGCAAUCUGAAAAACAACCCAUCAGUUUGGCACAAAGCUUCACUGGUUUCCAUAAUAGCUAAUAUUAGCCUGUUUUAUCCUCUCUAUGAAACAAUAACUAUUUUCCAGUCUGGAUGGAUGCUGUCCUGUGAUUGAAUACAGCUUUGACAUCUACAGACUCAGUCAUUAUCAUGGGCUUUAUGGUCUAUAUGUCUGUUUGACAUGCAUUUAAUGUGUUUCCAUAUUUAAUACAAUUACUUGAAUUAU
Long non-coding RNA from Esox lucius (northern pike), 1098 nucleotides. RefSeq lists it as uncharacterized. The record is from RefSeq and is a predicted model, not a curated record. NCBI's taxonomy places the organism in Eukaryota, Metazoa, Chordata, Actinopteri, Esociformes, Esocidae. The transcript is spliced from 2 exons.